GUAGGUGGCAAGCGUUGUCCGGAAUUAUUGGGCGUAAAGCGCGCGCAGGGCGGUCCUUUAAGUCUGAUGUGAAAGCCCAAAAAACGGCUCAACCGUGGAGGGUCAUUGGAAACUGGGGGACUUGAGUACAGAAGAGGAAAGCGGAAUUCCAAGUGUAGCGGUGAAAUGCGUAGAGAUUUGGAGGAACACCAGUGGCGAAGGCGGCUUUCUGGUCUGUAACUGACGCUGAGGCGCGAAAGCGUGGGGAGCAAACAGGAUUAGAUACCCUGGUAGUCCACGCCGUAAACGAUGAGUGCUAAGUGUUAGGGGGUUUCCGCCCCUUAGUGCUGCAGCUAACGCAUUAAGCACUCCGCCUGGGGAGUACGGCCGCAAGGCUG
RNAcentral lists this ribosomal RNA (377 nucleotides) under uncultured organism. RNAcentral's name for it is "partial 16S ribosomal RNA". It matches the Rfam family "Bacterial small subunit ribosomal RNA", at positions 527 to 896 of the family's 1533-position model. The record is from RNAcentral.